This 862-nucleotide ribosomal RNA is filed under the name Lysinibacillus sp. TBS1-21_Pa. RNAcentral's name for it is "bacterial SSU rRNA". It matches the Rfam family "Bacterial small subunit ribosomal RNA", at positions 48 to 889 of the family's 1533-position model. Lineage: Bacteria; Bacillati; Bacillota; Bacilli; Caryophanales; Bacillaceae. The record is from RNAcentral.
CUAAUACUGCAAGUCGAGCGAACAGAGAAGGAGCUUGCUCCUUUGACGUUAGCGGCGGACGGGUGAGUAACACGUGGGCAACCUACCUUAUAGUUUGGGAUAACUCCGGGAAACCGGGGCUAAUACCGAAUAAUCUAUUUCCUCUCAUGAGGGAAUACUGAAAGACGGUUUCGGCUGUCACUAUAAGAUGGGCCCGCGGCGCAUUAGCUAGUUGGUGAGGUAACGGCUCACCAAGGCGACGAUGCGUAGCCGACCUGAGAGGGUGAUCGGCCACACUGGGACUGAGACACGGCCCAGACUCCUACGGGAGGCAGCAGUAGGGAAUCUUCCACAAUGGGCGAAAGCCUGAUGGAGCAACGCCGCGUGAGUGAAGAAGGAUUUCGGUUCGUAAAACUCUGUUGUAAGGGAAGAACAAGUACAGUAGUAACUGGCUGUACCUUGACGGUACCUUAUUAGAAAGCCACGGCUAACUACGUGCCAGCAGCCGCGGUAAUACGUAGGUGGCAAGCGUUGUCCGGAAUUAUUGGGCGUAAAGCGCGCGCAGGUGGUUUCUUAAGUCUGAUGUGAAAGCCCACGGCUCAACCGUGGAGGGUCAUUGGAAACUGGGAGACUUGAGUGCAGAAGAGGAUAGUGGAAUUCCAAGUGUAGCGGUGAAAUGCGUAGAGAUUUGGAGGAACACCAGUGGCGAAGGCGACUAUCUGGUCUGUAACUGACACUGAGGCGCGAAAGCGUGGGGGAGCAAACAGGAUUAGAUACCCUGGUAGUCCACGCCGUAAACGAUGAGUGCUAAGUGUUGGGGGGGUUUCCGCCCCUCAGUGCUGCAGCUAACGCAUUAAGCACUCCGCCUGGGGAGUACGGUCGC